Molecule: ribosomal RNA, 299 nt
Filed under: Paenibacillus hunanensis
Lineage: Bacteria; Bacillati; Bacillota; Bacilli; Caryophanales; Paenibacillaceae
Description: partial 16S ribosomal RNA
Rfam family: Bacterial small subunit ribosomal RNA
Source: RNAcentral
UUAUUGGAGAGUUUGAUCCUGGCUCAGGACGAACGCUGGCGGCGUGCCUAAUACAUGCAAGUCGAGCGGAGUUAAUAAGAAGCUUGCUUCUUUGAGACUUAGCGGCGGACGGGUGAGUAACACGUAGGCAACCUGCCCUUUAGCCUGGGAUAACUACCGGAAACGGUAGCUAAUACCGGAUACUUUCUUUUUCCGCAUGGGAGAAGAACGAAAGACGGAGCAAUCUGUCACUGAAGGAUGGGCCUGCGGCGCAUUAGCUAGUUGGUGGGGUAACGGCUCACCAAGGCGACGAUGCGUAG